UACAGAGGUCUCAAGCGUUGUUCGGAUUCAUUGGGCGUAAAGGGUGCGUAGGCGGCGCGGUAAGUCGGGUGUGAAAUCUUGGAGCUUAACUCCGAAACUGCAUUCGAUACUGCCGUGCUUGAGGACUGGAGAGGAGACUGGAAUUUACGGUGUAGCAGUGAAAUGCGUAGAUAUCGUAAGGAAGACCAGUGGCGAAGGCGAGUCUCUGGACAGUUACUGACACUGAGGCACGAAGGCCAGGGGAGCAAACGGG
RNAcentral lists this ribosomal RNA (253 nucleotides) under uncultured bacterium. RNAcentral describes it as "partial 16S ribosomal RNA". It matches the Rfam family "Bacterial small subunit ribosomal RNA", at positions 524 to 776 of the family's 1533-position model. The record is from RNAcentral.